This 253-nucleotide ribosomal RNA is filed under the name uncultured bacterium. RNAcentral's name for it is "partial 16S ribosomal RNA". It matches the Rfam family "Bacterial small subunit ribosomal RNA", at positions 524 to 776 of the family's 1533-position model. The record is from RNAcentral.
UACGAGUGCCCCAAGCGUUAUCCGGAAUUAUUGGGCGUAAAGGGUGUGUAGGUGGUUUUGUAAGUCUCUUGUCAAAUUCUUCGGCUCAACCGGGGGUCCGCAAGGGAAACGGCAAGACUAGAAGAUACGAGGGGUGAAUGGAACUCAUAGUGUAGGGGUGAAAUCCGUUGAUAUUAUGGGGAACACCAAAAGCGAAGGCAGUUCACUGGCGUAUUCUUGACACUGAAACACGAAAGCGUGGGUAGCGAAUGGG